This 253-nucleotide ribosomal RNA is filed under the name uncultured bacterium. RNAcentral's name for it is "partial 16S ribosomal RNA". It matches the Rfam family "Bacterial small subunit ribosomal RNA", at positions 524 to 776 of the family's 1533-position model. The record is from RNAcentral.
UACGUAGGGUGCGAGCGUUAAUCGGAAUUACUGGGCGUAAAGCGUGCGCAGGCGGCGGCUCAAGUCAGGUGUGAAAUCCCCGGGCUUAACCUGGGAACUGCGCUUGAAACUAGGUUGCUAGAGUGUGGCAGAGGGGGGUGGAAUUCCACGUGUAGCAGUGAAAUGCGUAGAGAUGUGGAGGAACACCGAUGGCGAAGGCAGCCCCCUGGGUCAACACUGACGCUCAUGCACGAAAGCGUGGGGAGCAAACAGG